RNAcentral lists this ribosomal RNA (497 nucleotides) under uncultured bacterium. RNAcentral describes it as "partial 16S ribosomal RNA". It matches the Rfam family "Bacterial small subunit ribosomal RNA", at positions 28 to 507 of the family's 1533-position model. The record is from RNAcentral.
GAUGAACGCUGGCGGCGUGCCUAAUACAUGCAAGUCGAGCGAACAGACGAGGAGCUUGCUCCUCUGACGUUAGCGGCGGACGGGUGAGUAACACGUGGAUAACCUACCUAUAAGACUGGGAUAACUUCGGGAAACCGGAGCUAAUACCGGAUGAUAUUUUGAACCGCAUGGUUCAAUAGUGAAAGACGGUCUUGCUGUCACUUAUAGAUGGAUCCGCGCAGCAUUAGCUAGUUGGUAAGGUAACGGCUUACCAAGGCAACGAUGCGUAGCCGACCUGAGAGGGUGAUCGGCCACACUGGAACUGAGACACGGUCCAGACUCCUACGGGAGGCAGCAGUAGGGAAUCUUCCGCAAUGGGCGAAAGCCUGACGGAGCAACGCCGCGUGAGUGAUGAAGGUCUUCGGAUCGUAAAACUCUGUUAGUAGGGAAGAACAAAUGUGUAAGUAACUAUGCACAUCUUGACGGUACCUAAUCAGAAAGCCACGGCUAACUACGUG